RNAcentral lists this ribosomal RNA (253 nucleotides) under uncultured bacterium. RNAcentral describes it as "partial 16S ribosomal RNA". It matches the Rfam family "Bacterial small subunit ribosomal RNA", at positions 524 to 776 of the family's 1533-position model. The record is from RNAcentral.
UACGGGGGGAGCAAGCGUUGUUCGGAUUUACUGGGCGUAAAGGGCGCGUAGGCGGUAGCACAAGUCAGUUGUGAAAUCUCCGGGCUUAACUCGGAAAGGUCAACUGAUACUGUGCGACUAGAGUGCAGAAGGGGCAACUGGAAUUCUCGGUGUAGCGGUGAAAUGCGUAGAUAUCGAGAGGAACACCUGCGGCGAAGGCGGCUACCUGGACCGGUUCUGACGCUGAGGCGCGAAAGCGUGGGUAGCAAACAGG